GACCCCUUCGUCUAGUGGUCCAGGACACUGGGUUUUCAUCCCAGAAACACGGGUUCGAUUCCCGUAGGGGUCG
This 73-nucleotide transfer RNA is filed under the name Kiritimatiella glycovorans. It matches the Rfam family "tRNA". Rfam says of the family: Transfer RNA (tRNA) molecules are approximately 80 nucleotides in length. Their secondary structure includes four short double-helical elements and three loops (D, anti-codon, and T loops). The record is from Rfam by way of RNAcentral. Lineage: Bacteria; Pseudomonadati; Kiritimatiellota; Kiritimatiellia; Kiritimatiellales; Kiritimatiellaceae.